UUGUCUCAAAGAUUAAGCCAUGCAUGUCUCAGUACAAGCCGAAUUAAGGUGAAACCGCGAAAGGCUCAUUAAAUCAGUUAUGGUUCCUUAGAUCGUACCACACUUACUUGGAUAACUGUGGUAAUUCUAGAGCUAAUACAUGCAAACAGAGCUCCGACCGGAGACGGAAGGAGCGCUUUUAUUAGAUCAAAACCAAUCGGCGUCGGGUUCGCCCGUCGUCGUACAACCUGGUGACUCUGAAUAACUUUAAGCUGAUCGCACGGUCUCGCACCGGCGACGCAUCUUUCAAAUGUCUGCCUUAUCAACUGUCGAUGGUAGGUUCUGCGCCUACCAUGGUUGUAACGGGUAACGGGGAAUCAGGGUUCGAUUCCGGAGAGGGAGCCUGAGAAACGGCUACCACAUCCAAGGAAGGCAGCAGGCGCGCAAAUUACCCACUCCCGGCACGGGGAGGUAGUGACGAAAAAUAACGAUACGGGACUCAUCCGAGGCCCCGUAAUCGGAAUGAGUACACUCUAAACCCUUUAACGAGGAUCAAUUGGAGGGCAAGUCUGGUGCCAGCAGCCGCGGUAAUUCCAGCUCCAAUAGCGUAUAUUAAAGUUGUUGCGGUUAAAAAGCUCGUAGUCGAAUUUGUGUCCCGCGCCGCCGGUUCAUCGUCCGCGGUGUUAACUGGCGUGUCGCGGGACGUCCUGCCGGUGGGCUUAGCUCCACGGGGCGGCCCAACUCAAUCCCGCCGCGGUGCUCUUCACUGAGUGUCGAGGUGGGCCGGCACGUUUACUUUGAACAAAUUAGAGUGCUUAAAGCAGGCUAAAACUUCGCCUGAAUACUGUGUGCAUGGAAUAAUGGAAUAGGACCUCGGUUCUAUUUUGUUGGUUUUCGGAACCCCGAGGUAAUGAUUAAUAGGAACGGAUGGGGGCAUUCGUAUUGCGACGUUAGAGGUGAAAUUCUUGGACCGUCGCAAGACGAACAGAAGCGAAAGCAUUUGCCAAAAACGCUUUCAUUGAUCAAGAACGAAAGUUAGAGGUUCGAAGGCGAUCAGAUACCGCCCUAGUUCUAACCAUAAACGAUGCCAGCUAGCGAUCCGCCGACGUUCCAUUAUAUGACUCGGCGGGCAGCUUCCGGGAAACCAAAGCUUUUGGGUUCCGGGGGAAGUAUGGUUGCAAAGCUGAAACUUAAAGGAAUUGACGGAAGGGCACCACCAGGAGUGGAGCCUGCGGCUUAAUUUGACUCAACACGGGAAACCUCACCAGGCCCGGACACCGGAAGGAUUGACAGAUUGAGAGCUCUUUCUUGAUUCGGUGGGUGGUGGUGCAUGGCCGUUCUUAGUUGG
RNAcentral lists this ribosomal RNA (1327 nucleotides) under Tenebroides maroccanus. RNAcentral describes it as "SSU rRNA". It matches the Rfam family "Eukaryotic small subunit ribosomal RNA", at positions 32 to 1301 of the family's 1831-position model. Lineage: Eukaryota; Metazoa; Arthropoda; Insecta; Coleoptera; Trogossitidae. The record is from RNAcentral.